RNAcentral lists this ribosomal RNA (1263 nucleotides) under Vibrio sp. S2603. RNAcentral describes it as "bacterial SSU rRNA". It matches the Rfam family "Bacterial small subunit ribosomal RNA", at positions 1 to 1244 of the family's 1533-position model. The record is from RNAcentral. Lineage: Bacteria; Pseudomonadati; Pseudomonadota; Gammaproteobacteria; Vibrionales; Vibrionaceae.
UAGAAGUUUGAUCAUGGCUCAGAUGAACGCUGGCGGCAGGCCUAACACAUGCAAGUCGAGCGGAAACGAGCUGUCUGAACCUUCGGGGAACGACAACGGCGUCGAGCGGCGGACGGGUGAGUAAUGCCUGGGAAAUGCCCUGAUGUGGGGGAUAACCAUUGGAAACGAUGGCUAAUACCGCAUAAUAGCUUCGGCUCAAAGAGGGGGACCUUCGGGCCUCUCGCGUCAGGAUAUGCCCAGGUGGGAUUAGCUAGUUGGUGAGGUAAAGGCUCACCAAGGCGACGAUCCCUAGCUGGUCUGAGAGGAUGAUCAGCCACACUGGAACUGAGACACGGUCCAGACUCCUACGGGAGGCAGCAGUGGGGAAUAUUGCACAAUGGGCGCAAGCCUGAUGCAGCCAUGCCGCGUGUGUGAAGAAGGCCUUCGGGUUGUAAAGCACUUUCAGCAGUGAGGAAGGGUGUGUAUUUAAUAGAUGCACAUUUUGACGUUAGCUGCAGAAGAAGCACCGGCUAACUCCGUGCCAGCAGCCGCGGUAAUACGGAGGGUGCGAGCGUUAAUCGGAAUUACUGGGCGUAAAGCGCAUGCAGGUGGUUUGUUAAGUCAGAUGUGAAAGCCCGGGGCUCAACCUCGGAACUGCAUUUGAAACUGGCAGGCUAGAGUACUGUAGAGGGGGGUAGAAUUUCAGGUGUAGCGGUGAAAUGCGUAGAGAUCUGAAGGAAUACCGGUGGCGAAGGCGGCCCCCUGGACAGAUACUGACACUCAGAUGCGAAAGCGUGGGGAGCAAACAGGAUUAGAUACCCUGGUAGUCCACGCCGUAAACGAUGUCUACUUGGAGGUUGUGGCCUUGAGCCGUGGCUUUCGGAGCUAACGCGUUAAGUAGACCGCCUGGGGAGUACGGUCGCAAGAUUAAAACUCAAAUGAAUUGACGGGGGCCCGCACAAGCGGUGGAGCAUGUGGUUUAAUUCGAUGCAACGCGAAGAACCUUACCUACUCUUGACAUCCAUAGAACUUAGCAGAGAUGCUUUGGUGCCUUCGGGAACUAUGAGACAGGUGCUGCAUGGCUGUCGUCAGCUCGUGUUGUGAAAUGUUGGGUUAAGUCCCGCAACGAGCGCAACCCUUAUCCUUGUUUGCCAGCACUUCGGGUGGGAAACUCCAGGGGAGACUGCCGGUGAUAAAACCGGGAGGAAGGUGGGGACGACGUCAAGUCAUCAUGGCCCCUUACGAGUAGGGCUACACAACGUGCUAAAAUGGGCGCAUACAGAG